GACGAACGCUGGCGGCGUGCCUAACACAUGCAAGUCGAGCGAAGUUUUUAAAGCGGAUCCCUUCGGGGUGAAACUUUAAUUAUCUUAGCGGCGGACGGGUGAGUAACGCGUGAGAAACCUGCCUUUCACAAAGGAAUAGCCUCGGGAAACUGGGAAUAAUACCUUAUGAUACAUCUACUUCACAUGAAGAAGAUGUUAAAGCGUAAAGCGGUGAAAGAUGGUCUCGCGUCCCAUUAGCUAGUUGGUGAGGUAAUAGCUCACCAAGGCGACGAUGGGUAGCCGGCCUGAGAGGGUGAACGGCCACACUGGAACUGAGACACGGUCCAG
RNAcentral lists this ribosomal RNA (327 nucleotides) under uncultured bacterium. RNAcentral describes it as "bacterial SSU rRNA". It matches the Rfam family "Bacterial small subunit ribosomal RNA", at positions 28 to 334 of the family's 1533-position model. The record is from RNAcentral.